Papaver somniferum (opium poppy) is the source of this 220-nucleotide long non-coding RNA. RefSeq lists it as uncharacterized. The record is from RefSeq and is a predicted model, not a curated record. NCBI's taxonomy places the organism in Eukaryota, Viridiplantae, Streptophyta, Magnoliopsida, Ranunculales, Papaveraceae. The transcript is spliced from 3 exons.
AAAAUGGCUUGGGGCUAAGGAAGAUGUUGCUUGUAGGAUUAAGGAGUCUUUCUGCUACUUAACCUUUCUCACUCCCUGUAUAGAAGGACAUUACUUUUGUCUAUCUUCUUGGAUGUUGCAACUGUAUUUGCCUAUGAAACUCUAUUCAAGUGUAUUUCAGUGAAACAUAUGGUUGCAGGAAAUUAUGGAGUUGCUUUCGCAGUUUUAGAACUUAAAGAGG